AAUUUAUAAGAUUACCAUAUAUAUUUAAACUUUUUGUCAUGAUAUUAAUGGUCAUAUAGAGUACUAACUAACUCUAGAAAUAGGAUUUAUCUAGCUUCCUGCAUAUGAUUUCAGGCUUGAGUGUGAGCAGGUAACUAGGAAUUAAGCGAUAUACCUCGGGUGUCUUUAAUAGAUUGUAGUUCUGUACCCUCCUUGAGAUCUGCUGCAUAUGAUAUUGAAAACGUUUAAGUUUUCUUCAGUGAACUGUGACUAUUCUAACAGUGACCUGUGAAAUCUCCAAAAGGAUGAUGGAAUCCCACAAUGAUGAAAUCACCUGGAUUGUGGUAAUGCCACUAAGCUGACAAAUACCUCUGAAAGAUGCUUUGGACUACAAGCUGGUCAGAACAAUUUCCAGAUGGUUAACUCAGAUGGUUCAGCAUCAUAGACUACUGCAGCCAGAACUUCAAGAACUGCUUAUUCUAACUGCUGUUGUCUGACUGGAUGCCCAGGGAAGACUCAGGGGGCCUCCAAGUGAGAGGAGACAGAAAAAUUGGGAGCUGUGUCUGCAGGCUGCUGACAGCCUGGCCCAUUUCCUUCUGUUUCCAGUCUUCUCCAUUCCAGGGAAUCCUUGAAUCCUUGAAAUCCCAGGUCUAAGCUAGCUGGGCAGCUGGGAACCAACAAGUGAUCCUUCCCCCAACACAGUGAUCCAGUGCCUGGCCCAGCUAACUCGAGCAGCCUCUUCCCUCAGGAACCUUCCAGCAAGAGAACAGCCCGGUAGAAAUGCUAAUUUGAGGUCUUCUUGUCAUUUUCACCUCCCAGCCAUCAUCUGUCCAUCUCCUCCCAGUAGCUCAGACUAAAGAAUGUCUCUGCCCUGCCCCUGCCCCUGCCCCUGUCCUUACUCUCUCACUCCCUGCCUCUCUGAAUUUUGGGUACUGCUAUGACUGUUCUUGAGACAGGUUCUCAUCAUGUACCUCAGACUGACCUCAGACUUACUCUGUAUCCUGGGCUAUCCUGGAGCUCACGAUUUUCCCUGCCCAUCUUCCCUAUUGCUGGUGCCACAUUUGGCUUGGACUAGAAAUUUUUGACAUUAAUCUCUCCCAUACUGUUGAAUCCAUCCUGGAGAAAAGAAGACUCCUUUCAAAACUCAGUAACACCAAGGAAGAAAGCAUCCUUGGAGAUUUUUCCUUCUCAUUCCUCCGUUAAAGUUGUUUAUAGUGCUGUACAGCUCCUCUAGGGUAUACUGAGUAGAAUUCAAUUUAGAAGGACUCCAGUUACCAGGCUCUCCUCAGUUUUGUUUGUUUUAAUCUGUCAUUUGGCAGCUAGGACUAGUUAAGAUAACACUUUGUCUAGCCAUCUUCUCUAAAUUUUCAGUCAACUGUAAUUUCUCAGCAUUUGGGAUUCAGAGAAGGGGCAGGAGCCAGGAACCAGGAGAAGAACUUCAACCGUGUCCAGUCUUUCCUUUAUUUACUUACUUAUCUGCUUACUUAUUUAUACUGUUAUUAGGAGAUAGGGUCUCACUAUGCUUUCUAGGUUUGUCUCAAAUUCCUGGAUAAUCCUCUUGCCUUUCCUUUUUCAUCCUUCCCCUCGGAAUCUGUGAAAAGCGCGCCUGAAGUAA
This is a non-coding RNA of Myodes glareolus (Bank vole), 1594 nucleotides long. Lineage: Eukaryota; Metazoa; Chordata; Mammalia; Rodentia; Cricetidae. The record is from RefSeq and is a predicted model, not a curated record.